GCCUCCGUAGCUCAGUGGAUAGAGCGACUUCCUCCUAAGAAGUAGGUCGCACGUUCGAUUCGUGUCGGAGGCG
Molecule: transfer RNA, 73 nt
Filed under: Candidatus Ichthyocystis hellenicum
Lineage: Bacteria; Pseudomonadati; Pseudomonadota; Betaproteobacteria; Burkholderiales
Description: bacterium 2013Arg42i tRNA
Rfam family: tRNA
About the family: Transfer RNA (tRNA) molecules are approximately 80 nucleotides in length. Their secondary structure includes four short double-helical elements and three loops (D, anti-codon, and T loops).
Source: Rfam by way of RNAcentral